RNAcentral lists this ribosomal RNA (319 nucleotides) under uncultured Micromonosporaceae bacterium. Its description in RNAcentral is "bacterial SSU rRNA". It matches the Rfam family "Bacterial small subunit ribosomal RNA", at positions 37 to 358 of the family's 1533-position model. Lineage: Bacteria; Bacillati; Actinomycetota; Actinomycetes; Micromonosporales; Micromonosporaceae. The record is from RNAcentral.
UGGCGGCGUUGCUCAUCCAUGCAAGAAAAGAAGAAAGGCCUCUUCGGGGGUACUCGAGCGGCGAACGGUCUACUCACACGUGAGCAACCUUCCUCUGACUUUGGGAUAACCCUCGGAAACGGGGGCUAAUACCGGAUAUGGCGCCUUGGGGCAUCUUGGGGUGUGGAAAGUUUUUUCGGUCAGGGAUGGGCUCGCGGCCUAUCAGCUUGUUGGUGGGGUGAUGGCCUACCAAGGCGACCACGGGUAGCCGGCCUGAGAGGGCGACCGGCCACACUGGGACUGAGACUCUGCCCACACUCCUACAGGAGGCAGCAGUGGG